AGACUUCCUAUCCAGUAGCCUUCACUGCAUAGAUUUCACUAUAAUGAAAGACUUCUUUAAUUUUUCCCAGUUGAUUAUUAAAUUAGAGGUGCCUAGAGGUUAGUGUGGAUAGAGCACGGAACUUGGGCAUUCUAACAAUAAGUAUUUAAAACUGAGUGAGGCUCAGCCUCCUUUCUCACGGAGUUUAUAAUCUAUAAGCGCAUAGAUUCUCCCUGUCAAAGAGCCAAGUUCUCUGGGCCAUCUCAGGACCACGAUGGAGGCCAAACACUUCUAGUGGGCUCAGAAUUUAUCUGCUGCCCUUGGGACCAGAGUGUGACUCAGUGGUCAUCCAGACCUGAAGAGGCUGUUCUAGAGAGAAGACCCUUCUGUUUACAGUCUCACCACCUAAACCUGUAGAGUCUGGUCAUUCUGUAAGCACCUGCUGGCAGGCAAUGAGUUUGACAGCAAUUUACCUAUAACAUCCAGAUCUCAGUGAUGAUACCAGAAGGGCACCUGACCACACAAGAAGGAGCCUCUUUCCUGUUGCUGCAAGAUGCUGAAAAAUCCUAGUCCAGACUGCAAGUUACCUACAUCUACUGAUUGGCUACUGGGGAUAGCAAAGGUUUUUCAGAAAUUUUGGUUCUUAAUGGAAGAAGAAUCAGUCAUUGAGAUUAUUCUUGUGGUAGGAUGCCAUAUCACCAAUGUAGACCUCCUGCACUCAGGCUCAGUUGUGGCAGACUGCGGUGUCCACCAAAAUCCAUUCUCCCUUUUUUCCUGGUACAACUAG
This 766-nucleotide long non-coding RNA is filed under the name Papio anubis (olive baboon). RNAcentral describes it as "lncRNA (ENSPANG00000048465.1)". Lineage: Eukaryota; Metazoa; Chordata; Mammalia; Primates; Cercopithecidae. The record is from RNAcentral.